Molecule: ribosomal RNA, 482 nt
Filed under: uncultured bacterium
Lineage: Bacteria
Description: partial 16S ribosomal RNA
Rfam family: Bacterial small subunit ribosomal RNA
Source: RNAcentral
GACGAACGCUGGCGGCGUGCCUAACACAUGCAAGUCGAACGGAACUGUUUUGAAAGACUUCUUCGGAAUGAAUUUGAUUUAGUUUAGUGGCGGACGGGUGAGUAACGCGUGAGUAACCUGCCUUCAAGAGGGGAAUAACAUUCUGAAAAGAAUGCUAAUACCGCAUGACAUAUCGGAACCACAUGGUUUUGAUAUCAAAGAUUUUAUCGCUUGAAGAUGGACUCGCGUCCGAUUAGUUAGUUGGUGAGGUAACGGCUCACCAAGACCGCGAUCGGUAGCCGGACUGAGAGGUUGAACGGCCACAUUGGGACUGAGACACGGCCCAGACUCCUACGGGAGGGAGCAGUGGGGGAUAUUGCGCAAUGGGGGCAACCCUGACGCAGCAACGCCGCGUGAAGGAUGAAGGUUUUCGGAUUGUAAACUUCUUUUAUUAAGGACGAAAAAUGACGGUACUUAAUGAAUAAGCUCCGGCUAACUACGUG